Molecule: unclassified non-coding RNA, 412 nt
Filed under: soil metagenome
Description: partial contains 5.8S ribosomal RNA, internal transcribed spacer 2, and large subunit ribosomal RNA
Rfam family: 5.8S ribosomal RNA (bases 1-122)
Source: RNAcentral
GAUGAAGAACGUAGCGAAAUGCGAUAAGUAGUGUGAAUUGCAGGUGUAUACGUGAAUCAUCGAAUCUUUGAACGCAAAUUGCACUUUCUGGUAUUCCAGGAAGUAUGCCUGUUUGAGGGUCGCCUAAAUAAACUUCGAUUAUAUUGCUUUUUUUGUAAAUAUAUGUCGGAUUUGGGCUUUUCUUUAUUUUUUUUUAAAUAAAGUGGCUUAAAAUUUUUUUUUUUGGUAUCAUCGAAAAGCGUAUUUUACGAUCAAUGUCGAUCAAAAGAAACGUUGUCGAAUGCCAUCCUUUAUUAAUGUAAUACGUUUGACUUGUGUUAUCAUCUAGUUCAUUCGUAUACGAUUCUUGAUUUUUUGACCUCAAAUCAGGUAAGAGUACCCGCUGAACUUAAGCAUAUCAAUAAGCGGAGGA